AGAGUUUGAUCAUGGCUCAGGACGAACGCUGGCGGCGUGCUUAACACAUGCAAGUCGAACGGAAAGGCCCUUCGGGGUACUCGAGUGGCGAACGGGUGAGUAACACGUGGGUGAUCUGCCCUGCACUUUGGGAUAAGCCUGGGAAACUGGGUCUAAUACCGAAUAGGACCACGCGCUUCAUGGUGUGUGGUGGAAAGCUUUUGCGGUGUGGGAUGGGCCCGCGGCCUAUCAGCUUGUUGGUGGGGUAAUGGCCUACCAAGGCGACGACGGGUAGCCGGCCUGAGAGGGUGACCGGCCACACUGGGACUGUGAUACGGCCCAGACUCCUACGGGAGGCAGCAGUGGGGAAUAUUGCACAAUGGGCGCAAGCCUGAUGCAGCGACGCCGCGUGAGGGAUGACGGCCUUCGGGUUGUAAACCUCUUUCAAUAGGGACGAAGCGCAAGUGACGGUACCUAUAGAAGAAGCACCGGCCAACUACGUGCCAGCAGCCGCGGUAAUACGUAGGGUGCGAGCGUUGUCCGGAAUUACUGGGCGUAAAGAGCUCGUAGGUGGUUUGUCGCGUUGUUCGUGAAAACUCACAGCUUAACUGUGGGCGUGCGGGCGAUACGGGCAGACUAGAGUACUGCAGGGGAGACUGGAAUUCCUGGUGUAGCGGUGGAAUGCGCAGAUAUCAGGAGGAACACCGGUGGCGAAGGCGGGUCUCUGGGCAGUAACUGACGCUGAGGAGCGAAAGCGUGGGGAGCGAACAGGAUUAGAUACCCCGGUAGUCCAA
Molecule: ribosomal RNA, 773 nt
Filed under: uncultured bacterium
Lineage: Bacteria
Description: bacterial SSU rRNA
Rfam family: Bacterial small subunit ribosomal RNA
Source: RNAcentral